ACCAAGCCUUCCCUUUCUGCUUGCCCUUUCCUCCUUCUCCUCCUGAGUAGCUGGGACCACAGGCACAGUGCACGGUGCCAGCUAUUUUGGCUUUUCCACUCAAACCCGCUUGUGGCUACUAGUCCUUAUUCUCGGACGUGUCUUAACAAUGUGUGGGCCCUCCCCUGCUCUGGUGUGGCUCUGAGCCCCAGCAUUCCUCUGCCCUACAUACCCCCACCCGACUCCAGGCCCAGCCUCC
RNAcentral lists this long non-coding RNA (238 nucleotides) under Homo sapiens (human). RNAcentral describes it as "non-protein coding lnc-SERTAD2-7:1". Lineage: Eukaryota; Metazoa; Chordata; Mammalia; Primates; Hominidae. The record is from RNAcentral.